AAUGUAUCGGAACGUGCCCAGUAGCGGGGGAUAACUACGCGAAAGCGUAGCUAAUACCGCAUACGCCCUACGGGGGAAAGCAGGGAUCGUAAGACCUUGCACUAUUGGAGCGGCCGAUAUCGGAUUAGCUAGUUGGUGGGGUAACGGCUCACCAAGGCGACGAUCCGUAGCUGGUUUGAGAGGACGACCAGCCACACUGGGACUGAGACACGGCCCAGACUCCUACGGGAGGCAGCAGUGGGGAAUUUUGGACAAUGGGGGAAACCCUGAUCCAGCCAUCCCGCGUGUGCGAUGAAGGCCUUCGGGUUGUAAAGCACUUUUGGCAGGAAAGAAACGUCGUGGGUUAAUACCCCGCGAAACUGACGGUACCUGCAGAAUAAGCACCGGCUAACUACGUGCCAGCAGCCGCGGUAAUACGUAGGGUGCAAGCGUUAAUCGGAAUACUGGGCGUAAAGCGUGCGCAGGCGGUUCGGAAAGAAAGAUGUGAAAUCCCAGAGCUUAACUUUGAACUGCAUUUUUAACUACCGAGCUAGAGUGUGUCAGAGGGAGGUGGAAUUCCGCGUGUAGCAGUGAAAUGCGUAGAUAUGCGGAGGAACACCGAUGGCGAAGGCAGCCUCCUGGGAUAACACUGACGCUCAUGCACGAAAGCGUGGGGAGCAAACAGGAUUAGAUACCUGGUAGUCCACGCCCUAA
Molecule: ribosomal RNA, 693 nt
Filed under: bacterium MS-AsIII-02
Lineage: Bacteria
Description: bacterial SSU rRNA
Rfam family: Bacterial small subunit ribosomal RNA
Source: RNAcentral